Molecule: long non-coding RNA, 679 nt
Filed under: Nicotiana benthamiana
Lineage: Eukaryota; Viridiplantae; Streptophyta; Magnoliopsida; Solanales; Solanaceae
Description: long non-coding RNA (NBEN_LNC037442)
Source: RNAcentral
GCAGAUUCAAAUAUUAUGACCAGGUCCAUUUGCACAAUUUUAGAUUACAGAAUAUUCGACCAAAAUUGAAUCCCAUGUUCAUUUCAAACAAACUCAACCCCUAAAAGCACUAUCACUGACCAAUAUUUAGACGUAAACAUAUUCAAACUAAAACUCAAAAUAAAGCCAAAAUUAAACUCUUCUAAUGAGAAUAAAUGGCGAGCAUGCUUUAACUCUUCCUGAUUUCCAUAUCACAAAAGGUUUUACAAUGGCUAGAGUAAAAAUGUACCUAGAAAUAAGAGUAAAAGAGGUACGAUUUAGCAGUAGCAACAACAGUGCCUAGCAGUAGCAAUAAACCAGGGAAGUAGCUUUAAACCAAAAAAACUGAUGCUCAACAAUCAAAAUCCACAACCGAAAAACUUCCAACACCAGAUUCAACUCAUCUCAGCCCAACUACUUUGGAAGCUAUUUCAGGGAUUAGAAGUUGAAGAGAUCACAAGAAGAACCCAAUGAAACAGUAACUUCCACAAACUUCAAACCAAAAUUCCCCGCAAAUCACCACCAAACCUAGUCCAUUUCAAUCCUACAACUUUUCAGAAAUUAUCUCAAAAGUUGAAGGCUUCAUCAACCAAAGGAAAGAGAGGGAAACUUAAUGAAAACAAUAGAGAAUUUUUGGUCGUUGUAUUUUCUGGAAUUCUCU